UUCUCCAGUAAUUUCUGAUUUUGUUCCAGAUCUCCAGCAUUUGUUGUCCUUUGUCUUAUUUAGUGUAUUUGAUAGCUUUGUGCAUGAAUUUAAUUCUUCCUCCACUUUGUUCAUACAAACAAUGCUAAUGUAGUGUGCCAAAGGAAAAGCGGAAUCUGCUUGCUAGAUCUUAUUAUGUAUUGGAUCAAUAGUUUAUGUAGAACAUGUAAAAUUUUCUUGUUAGAGCCUGAUUUUGCAUUUCAGCAUUGGUCCUUUAUUUGUUGAGUGAAUAUUGCAACAUAUAGUCAGAAGAUUACUGUUUUAUACACUUAUGCUGAUUCAGUGUCUUCUGCGAAAUGUCAUGUUGAUCUUGACUGUUAAUAUUUUCAGUUUAUUUUAGUUUAAAGGUUAAAUCUUGCAAGGAGCAUGCUGGGAGCUAUUCAAGACGAGAGUAGAGCUGCCUCAGAGGCUUAAAGUUCUCUUGAGAUAUUGCUAGAUGUUCAUGAUUCUGUUUUCAAAGUAAGACGAUAGCUAGGGGGCAGUAUCACAAUUGCUGAUAAAAUAUUAGUGUGUGUUGUGGAUGCUGUUUUGGUAGUGCAGAACAGGAGAGGCACCAAAAUACUCUGCCAGCUUGCAUUACCCUGAAGUAGCUUUCAGUGUUGCCAGAAUCUGGAAGGUAAAAAUGUGAAAAUGCAAUAAUUUGAAUCCAAGAUGUUCCUGACAGGGAGUUAUACUUGCAUUGUAUCAGAUCAGAACAUACCUGAAAGAAACUGUCUAUAGUUUGCUUACUUGAGCAUUUCUUGGCAUAAUCUUGCAACUUUUUUUAUAGCAGCCAAAAAAAGUGUAGCUUUAUGACCCAUAAUGAUUCUGACUUUAUGUGCUGAAAUCCUUUUUCAGUACAGGAAAAUAUGCAACUUAGGACCACACUCUUGUUUCUUGGUCAUGAUGUAGAGAUGCUGGAGUUGGUCUGGGGUGGACAAGAUCAAAAAUCCAACCCGGUGUUGUUUGAUUUCUGACCUUGUUUCCUGGUGUGUGAUUAUUUGGAUUAGCAUCAUCCCUCUUAAGUUCUCCAGUAUUUUUGUUGGAUUGGAAUGAAUUAUUGUAAUUUCAUGCAGAUCAGUAUUGUAGUAAUUCACUGCAGAUUUAAUUAAUUGAAAACCAAUUCUCUCAUUGCCUUUGUAGAGUGAAUAAACCAAAACCUUGAGCUUCGGUUUUAAACUUGACAAUGUCUGAAACAUUGGAAAUCAUGAACACUUCGGUUAUCGCAUUUUAAGUGUGGGUUUUUUCAUGAGAUUUUGUUUGCAGGUCUUGCUGAUGGCUAAACAGUAGCCUACAUAUUAAAUACCAGCUAAACAAUGAACUUUAAUCAGACUUUUGAAUGGACCUCUUUAAUGUAAAUGUUGAUCUCUGCACCUUUUCAGCAGCUGUAACAUUGUAUCCUCCACAUUUCUGUAAUCCUAAUGCAUUCAUAAAGUACGAUCUGUCUGUAAAGCAUGUAAGACAAUGCUUUUCACUGUACCUCGGUACGUGACAAUAAUAAAUCAAAUCAAACAAUUUAUUUAACUGUGAGCUGUAACUACAGCCUUAAUAUUGAGCUAGUUUGAAUCUGAUGAUUGAUUUAACCUUUUUUGUCUGCAUUGCCACAAAGAGGUAUAGUUUUAUAAAUCACAUGUUUUGAUUCCAAAUGGCUUUCUUCGAUUCAAAUUUAAAUUUUUGGUGCUCCCCUUGGGUAUUCCUCUAUUAGUUUUCACAGGACUCAUAAUUGUCAUUCCAGAAGCCCCUUCAGUGUUAUGGGAAGCAAGUAAAUAAAACAUGGCAAUGCCAUGUUUCAAAUAAUCUAAUAGUGUUAAGGCAUUUUACUUGUACUGUACUGGCAUUGCUGUUACUAGUCACUGCUCAUCUGUGCCUUCUUGAAGAUACCUCUUCGCUUAGCAUUAGUCUUUCUGGUGUGUUCCCUAUCUAUGCAUUGUGUCUAUUCUAUUACAUGGAUCUUUAAUGUAAAAUUUAUUUUUCUGCUUGAGGCCAUUAAUUUUAAUUUAAAAAAAUUCAGUCUGUCACUUUAUUAUUCGUUUCAGUUAAUAUAUCACAAACAAGAUCUUCACUGAUCCUUCAGUGUGCUGUUCCUGAUUCUGUCCUUUCUUAUUAACACAUCUAAGCUUGGCAUCUGCAUCUCCAUAUCGAGUCAUUGUUCCCUCGCUGCCCAAGUUUAUGCACUUUACAACAAAAUUACUGAACAGUUGCCUUGUGUGUUGUUUCCUCUUCAGCAUUAUUUAUUUUUGGUCACAACACUACAGUUCUUUCAUUUGUUCCAGUCAAAACUGAUCUAUUGCUUGUCUUCAAUUUCCAUACAUUCCAUCUUCUACUUGAGGUUGCUUAGUUUCUCCCCUAAUAUUUACACCUUUAAUCUGAUAUUCUUCCAUGAGCAUAAGCUGACAGUUCAUAAAUUGGGAUGUUCAUUCAUAGAUCUUUGUAUGUCUGUCUUUCUGUUUUACCCCAGUUGUUCAGAUAUGGUGAUAUAUUCCAACAACACCACAUAGAUUAGUGUCAUCUGCAAGCAUCAUUGAGCAAUGAGACAAAGUAUCAUGGUCAUUGCGAGCAUUUUAGACGUUGAGGGAAAGAAAAGGCUCAGUGGUAGUCUUUGGUGCAUUCUAACUUUAGCUUCACCAACAUUGCUGCUUGUGCCUGUCUACAGGCCUACACAUGUAGGAAGAAUGCUGCUCAAGGGCUUCACAAGUUACAGCACCGUUCCAAAUUGCUUUCCUAAGUACCUUCUUUAGAUCACUGAAAUUAAUCCUCAUGUAUAGUGAAUAAAGAUUGCUAAAUUCACCAAAUUACUUGAAUUGGCAUGUUAUUUUGAUAUUGCCAUCUUAGCUGUGUUGGUAAUUAAUAAUAUUUCACCUAUGCACUUCAGAUGACCAACUUCUUUUCAUGGGGAUUUGGAGCCCUUGAGUAUGUGGGCAUGAUUCAAAAAGAUUAUUUCUGGGAUGUAACUUUCAGUAAAUAUUCUUUUUACUAAAUUGAAAGAAUAGCUGAGAUUGUAAAUCUGUCCAUACAGGCCAGAUUACCUUAAAAUAAUUGCAUUCCACUGAAUGCUUGUAUCUGAGAUAUGCUAAGCAAUCUCUCUGAGAAAGCACAGUCAUCCAUUGAUAUUGUCAUAUGCUUUUAAAUGCCUAGCAGACACUUUCUCUGCAAUAACUUAUUCAAAAUUUUGCUCAUAGCUUUCUUAACACUAAAGAGGAUCUUUUUCAUCAAGAAAGGUUGUGCAUAAAAUAACUCUUUUAAAUUGGUCUCUUGUUGAACAUCUUCCUGAUUGGCCAGCUGCUGCAAUUUCAUCAAGCACCUUGUCAUGUCACUUCUAUUUGGUACAGUAUUCCGCUUCCUGAUUGAAAAUUAUAAAUAUAACUGGUAUGAUUGACUGCACUAGUAUUUAGGUGAUUAAUUGGUUACCAGCAACCUUCAACUAAUCAAGGUGUUGACAUGAAGUAAUUAAUACUAUACUUUGAAAUCUUUUAAAUUAUAUGAUACUUUAUCAUGUGCUUGAUAUUUUGCAGUUUGUUGCCAGGCAAAGUUGCAUUCCUUAGCUGGUAGUUAAUCCUUAAGCUUCUUUUUGCCAUCAGAUUUCUGUUUGUAACAAUCGAUUUUAGAAAAUGACUGUGCUUAUUCUAUCAGUGUCCAUUUGCCUGGGCUAUGUGAUGCAUUGAUGUUUGAUUAUGCCAACAUUUUCCAAACCACAUUUGUUUGCAAGGUUGAGGAAGAAUUUUGCUGAAAAAGCAAUAAUAAUACUGCUGUCUGCCUGUUGUUUCCCUUCACAGUUAAGACAAAAUUUGAAAAAAUAUUUAACUGAAAAUAUUUUGUAAAAAUCACAAAUGUUAUGCAACAUGGAUUUUGAAAUUUAAGAAAGCGCUACUGGCCAAAUUAAUA
Long non-coding RNA from Chiloscyllium plagiosum (whitespotted bambooshark), 3900 nucleotides. RefSeq lists it as uncharacterized. The record is from RefSeq and is a predicted model, not a curated record. NCBI's taxonomy places the organism in Eukaryota, Metazoa, Chordata, Chondrichthyes, Orectolobiformes, Hemiscylliidae.